AUUGAACGCUGGCGGCAGGCCUAACACAUGCCAGUCGAACGGUAACAGGAAGAAGCUUGCUUCUUUGCUGACGAGUAGCGGACGGGUGAGUAAUGUCUGGGAAACUGCCUGAUGGAGGGGGAUAACUACUGGAAACGGUAGCUAAUACCGCAUAACGUCGCAAGACCAAAGAGGGGGACCUUCGGGCCUCUUGCCAUCGGAUGUGCCCAGAUGGGAUUAGCUAGUAGGUGGGGUAACGGCUCACCUAGGCGACGAUCCCUAGCUGGUCUGAGAGGAUGACCAGCCACACUGGAACUGAGACACGGUCCAGACUCCUACGGGAGGCAGCAGUGGGGAAUAUUGCACAAUGGGCGCAAGCCUGAUGCAGCCAUGCCGCGUGUAUGAAGAAGGCCUUCGGGUUGUAAAGUACUUUCAGCGGGGAGGAAGGGAGUAAAGUUAAUACCUUUGCUCAUUGACGUUACCCGCAGAAGAAGCACCGGCUAACUCCGUG
This 490-nucleotide ribosomal RNA is filed under the name uncultured bacterium. RNAcentral describes it as "partial 16S ribosomal RNA". It matches the Rfam family "Bacterial small subunit ribosomal RNA", at positions 30 to 507 of the family's 1533-position model. The record is from RNAcentral.